RNAcentral lists this ribosomal RNA (753 nucleotides) under uncultured bacterium. Its description in RNAcentral is "bacterial SSU rRNA". It matches the Rfam family "Bacterial small subunit ribosomal RNA", at positions 29 to 780 of the family's 1533-position model. The record is from RNAcentral.
ACGAACGCUGGCGGCGUGCUUAACACAUGCAAGUCGAACGAGAAUCUGUGGAUUGAGGAUUCGUCCAAAUGAAGCAGAGGAAAGUGGCGGACGGGUGAGUAACGCGUGAGGAACCUGCCUUUCAGAGGGGGACAACAGUUGGAAACGACUGCUAAUACCGCAUAACACAUAAGGGCCGCAUGGUCUUUAUGUCAAAGAUUUAUCGCUGAAAGAUGGCCUCGCGUCUGAUUAGCUGGUUGGUGGGGUAACGGCCCACCAAGGCGACGAUCAGUAGCCGGACUGAGAGGUUGACCGGCCACAUUGGGACUGAGAUACGGCCCAGACUCCUACGGGAGGCAGCAGUGGGGAAUAUUGGGCAAUGGGCGCAAGCCUGACCCAGCGACGCCGCGUGAGGGAAGACGGUCUUCGGAUUGUAAACCUCUUUCAGCAGGGAAGACAGAAAGGACGGUACCUGCAGAAGAAGCCACGGCUAACUACGUGCCAGCAGCCGCGGUAAUACGUAGGUGGCAAGCGUUAUCCGGAAUUACUGGGUGUAAAGGGUGUGUAGGCGGGACUGCAAGUCAGAUGUGAAAAUUACGGGCUCAACCCGUAACCUGCGUCUGAAACUGUGGUUCUUGAGAGUGGGAGAGGUAGAUGGAAUUCCCGGUGUAGCGGUGAAAUGCGUAGAUAUUAGGAGGAACACCAGUGGCGAAGGCGGAUUACUGGACGGUAACUGACGUUGAGGCUCGAAAGCGUGGGGAGCAAACAGGAUUA